GGAACAUCGGAGGUUUGAGGUGCAAGCCCGUAGAUCAACAACGGAACUGCCCAUGGAGGUGCGCGGGUUGAGUCCUGUCGUGUUGGCGGAAUAGGCGGGGAAACAGAGAAAGGCAUAGAUACCGGCCCAGAACCACCGAUUGGGGAAUGGCAGCUGACUAGGCUGGUACUGACGCUCGGCACGAAAAGCGUGGGGGAGUGAACAGGAUUUGAUACCCUGGUAGUCCAUGCCGUAAACGAUGGAUACUCGCUGGUGGUGAUAGACGGUCACUGGCUUAGCGAAAGCGUUAAGUAUCCCACCUGGGGAGUACGCCCGCAAGGGUGAAACUCAAAGGAAUUGACGGGGGCCCGCACAAGUGGUGGAGCAUGUGGUUUAAUUCGAUGAUACGCGAGGAACCUUACCUAGGCUAGAAUGCGGGUGACCGGUUCGGAGACGAACCUUUCCUUCGGGACACAAAGCAAGGUGCUGCAUGGCCGUCGUCAGCUCGUGCCGUGAGGUGUUGGGUUAAGUCCCGCAACGAGCGCAACCCCUAUGUUUAGUUGCCAGCACGUAAUGGUGGGGACUCUAGACAGACUGCCUGCGCAAGCAGUGAGGAAGGCGGGGACGACGUCAGGUCAUCAUGGCCCUUACGCCUAGGGCUACACACGUGCUACAAUGGACGGUACAGCGGGUUGCCAACCAGCGAUGGUGCGCCAAUCCCGAAAAGCCGUUCUCAGUUCGGAUCGGAGUCUGCAACUCGACUCCGUGAAGCUGGAAUCACUAGUAAUCGCGCAUCAGCAAUGGCGCGGUGAAUACGUUCCCGGGCCUUGUACACACCGCCCGUCAAGCCAUGGAAGUUUGGUAGACCUGAAGCCGGUGCUCCGCAACGAAGCCGG
RNAcentral lists this ribosomal RNA (875 nucleotides) under Hymenobacter sp. 2_8. RNAcentral's name for it is "bacterial SSU rRNA". It matches the Rfam family "Bacterial small subunit ribosomal RNA", at positions 574 to 1456 of the family's 1533-position model. Lineage: Bacteria; Pseudomonadati; Bacteroidota; Cytophagia; Cytophagales; Hymenobacteraceae. The record is from RNAcentral.